Mya arenaria is the source of this 525-nucleotide long non-coding RNA. RefSeq lists it as uncharacterized. NCBI's taxonomy places the organism in Eukaryota, Metazoa, Mollusca, Bivalvia, Myida, Myidae. The record is from RefSeq and is a predicted model, not a curated record. The transcript is spliced from 5 exons.
AUUUGAUCGUUCGUACGUAAAACGUUUAAUAUCAUGGUUGUUCCUUGUGAGUGGUUUGGUGUCAUCGAAAGCGGUCCAACUAGAAGACAUCCAGAGUGGCUCGGUGCCCAAUGCAACUACACAUAGGACAUGUUAUGCCUGCUCGGGACCCGUAAGCCUUUGCGAGAACCUUUACCACCCCGUUACAUGCACUGUGGACAAGCAAUUUUGCAUAAAUGAGCUGAAAAACAACGCAGUUGCAUCGAGAACAGUAGUUAGAAGAUGUGGUACUGAACAGGAAUGUCAUGACGGCUGGUUCGUUAAGUACUCAUCGAACGACAGGUGUCUUAACUUCGACGAACGUUUCUUAUACACGAGCAGUUUCACCUGCGAGUUUUGUUGUACAUCCGAUAACUGCAACAUAAACGUCAAUCCUACGGACCUAUUCGAUCUCACACUGGGCUAAGACAUGUUUACUGCAUUGCUCGUUUUUUCAUGUCAUCAAAGAAAUUGUAUUGGUUUUUAUGUUACCCGAUGAACUCUUAA